This is a non-coding RNA of Salvia hispanica, 691 nucleotides long. The record is from RefSeq and is a predicted model, not a curated record. NCBI's taxonomy places the organism in Eukaryota, Viridiplantae, Streptophyta, Magnoliopsida, Lamiales, Lamiaceae.
UCUGGUCUACAUCUUUCCAUGUUCCUAUUUCAAAAAAUUUGCCAUUCUCAUCUCUCCAAGCUGCAAUGUCCACAACUCUCCUCCUCCUCUUAUUCAUCCUUGCAACACUAGCUCAUUUCUCUUAUGCUAAUCCUCUCUGCACUCCUUCUUCGUGUGGUGUUAUUCGUAACAUCAGCUACCCUUUCCGCCUCAAUGGCGAUCCCAGCCACUGCGGCCAUCUCAUAUUAACAUGCCAACACAACCUCACCUAUAUCUCUCUCCACUUUCAUAACUACUCUGUGAAAGCCAUCGACUACCAAAACUCCAGCAUCAGAGUGGCUGAUGCUUCCCUCAACAAUCACAACAUCUGCUCUUUCCCCAUCUCUUCUGCUUAUGAACAAGAUGAGUACUUUAGAGAUGAUUCUGGUAACUAUUACGACACCCCAUAUUCAAUCUAUCUACAUCGCGGAAUGGGAAGAUACACUACACGUCUGCAUGGCCCGAAAGAUCGCCUCUGUUACAGAUUUAAUGUUCCACAUCGAUUGUAAGAGCAACUGAUCUCAAACGACUCGAAAUGGUGGUGGCGAGCAAAGAACUCACCAUCAACAAAAAUUCGGAGGAUUGGUGGCCUACAUGGACGAAACCAGAAAUGCAAAUUAGCCGGUGCUGAAAUUUAAUAAAUUAAUAAUAAUAAUAUUAUUAUUAUUUAAUA